UACGGAAGGUCCAGGCGUUAUCCGGAUUUAUUGGGUUUAAAGGGAGCGUAGGCGGAUUGUUAAGUCAGCGGUUAAAGGGUGUGGCUCAACCAUGCAUUGCCGUUGAAACUGGCGAUCUUGAGUGCAGACAGGGAUGCCGGAAUUCGUGGUGUAGCGGUGAAAUGCUUAGAUAUCACGAAGAACUCCGAUCGCGAAGGCAGGUGUCCGGGCUGCAACUGACGCUGAGGCUCGAAAGUGUGGGUAUCAAACA
Molecule: ribosomal RNA, 250 nt
Filed under: uncultured bacterium
Lineage: Bacteria
Description: partial 16S ribosomal RNA
Rfam family: Bacterial small subunit ribosomal RNA
Source: RNAcentral